AACGCACCUUGCGCUCCUCGGCAUUCCGAGGAGCAUGCCUGUUUGAGUGUCGUGAAGUCUCAUCGGAUAAGGGGGUCCCUUGCGAAGGGGGCCUCUUUUCGGUCUUGGACGGUCUUGCCUUCACUUUGUCUGUGAAGGCUCGUCUUCAAAUUCAUCGGCGAGGGUUUCCAAGUCCCCCCCACGGAGACGCGUGAUAAGUCUUGCGUCGUCUGGGGGUAAGGAGCCCGGCCCCCAUCACUCUUUUUUAACGCCCUGACCUCAAAUCAGGCAGGACUACCCGCUGAACUUAA
RNAcentral lists this unclassified non-coding RNA (290 nucleotides) under Mucor sp. RNAcentral's name for it is "partial contains 5.8S ribosomal RNA, internal transcribed spacer 2, and large subunit ribosomal RNA". The stretch from base 1 to 52 matches the Rfam family "5.8S ribosomal RNA", at positions 103 to 154 of the family's 154-position model. Lineage: Eukaryota; Fungi; Mucoromycota; Mucoromycetes; Mucorales; Mucoraceae. RNAcentral also lists the same sequence under 3 other names. The record is from RNAcentral.